UCAGCCGCCGCGGUAAUACCAGCUCCUCGAGUGGUCGGGGCGAUUAUUGGGCCUAAAGCAUCCGUAGCCGGUUCCGUAGGUCCUCUGUUAAAUCCAACCGCUUAACGGUUGACCUGCAGAGGAUACCGCGAGACUAGGAGGCGGGAGAGGCGGACGGUACUCCGCGUGUAGGGGUAAAAUCCUUUGAUCCGCGGAAGACCACCAGUGGCGAAGGCGGUCCGCCAGAACGCGCUCGACGGUGAGGGAUGAAAGCUGGGGGAGCGAACCGGAUUAGAUACCCGGGUAGUCCCAGCCGUAAACGAUGCUAGCUAGAUGAUUCAUUCGCAAGUCGCGAAUGAAGUGUCGCAGGGAAGCCGUUAAGCUAGCCGCCUGGGGAGUACGGUCGC
RNAcentral lists this ribosomal RNA (386 nucleotides) under uncultured archaeon. RNAcentral describes it as "bacterial SSU rRNA". It matches the Rfam family "Archaeal small subunit ribosomal RNA", at positions 458 to 844 of the family's 1478-position model. The record is from RNAcentral.